AUCCCGCCAACGUGUCUCAAAUAGGACGAAAUGCUCAUCCUGGAU
This 45-nucleotide non-coding RNA is filed under the name Schistosoma curassoni. Lineage: Eukaryota; Metazoa; Platyhelminthes; Trematoda; Strigeidida; Schistosomatidae. The record is from RNAcentral.